RNAcentral lists this transfer RNA (78 nucleotides) under Candidatus Barnesiella excrementipullorum. RNAcentral describes it as "tRNA-Thr". It matches the Rfam family "tRNA". Rfam says of the family: Transfer RNA (tRNA) molecules are approximately 80 nucleotides in length. Their secondary structure includes four short double-helical elements and three loops (D, anti-codon, and T loops). Further hydrogen bonds mediate the characteristic L-shaped molecular structure. tRNAs have two regions of fundamental functional importance: the anti-codon, which is responsible for specific mRNA codon recognition, and the 3' end, to which the tRNAs corresponding amino acid is attached (by aminoacyl-tRNA synthetases). tRNAs cope with the degeneracy of the genetic code in two manners: having more than one tRNA (with a specific anti-codon) for a particular amino acid; and 'wobble' base-pairing, i.e. permitting non-standard base-pairing at the 3rd anti-codon position. Lineage: Bacteria; Pseudomonadati; Bacteroidota; Bacteroidia; Bacteroidales; Barnesiellaceae. The record is from RNAcentral.
AGCCACAAUAGCUCAGUUGGUAGAGCAUUUCAUUCGUAACGAAAAGGUCGUGGGUUCGAGUCCCACUCGUGGCUCCCA